This 269-nucleotide long non-coding RNA is filed under the name Elaeis guineensis (African oil palm). Its description in RNAcentral is "long non-coding RNA (EGUI_LNC049790)". The record is from RNAcentral. Lineage: Eukaryota; Viridiplantae; Streptophyta; Magnoliopsida; Arecales; Arecaceae.
GUGGAAGCGAUUGAGGGCCGAAUUAUCUCGUCCAAUUUGGCAUGUCCAACAACCUGACAAUCUCAAGAUUGUGCAAUCUCACAGCUAACAAUCCAGCUAUCCGAUAUUCUUUUAUACAAACAACCAGAGCUCCGAGGAUUCAGGUAAGUCCGAUCAAAUCUCUCCCAUAGAAUCCAUUGCUGCUCUUUUGUUCUCUAUUUUUUUGACUUGAGCGUCGAAGGGUCCUCGCCAGAGCCACAACCUUCGAUUUGGGACUUAUUUUGUAGGUG